AUUCAGCCGACAAGUCCCAAAUAGGACGAAAAGCGUGUCCUGGAU
Molecule: non-coding RNA, 45 nt
Filed under: Schistosoma margrebowiei
Lineage: Eukaryota; Metazoa; Platyhelminthes; Trematoda; Strigeidida; Schistosomatidae
Source: RNAcentral